CAGUUACAGACUGAAGAACAUAUCCCACAGAUCAAUGCGUCAACAUCUGCAAAUGAAGCUGAUAUCAGAAUCGAAAUGAUGAUGGUACUACACGAGAUGCUCAUGGAAAAGGUAUCAGUUUGCUUUUCUCCUCCCACGAGCAGUACAAAGUGUGGGUUCAACUUUAAUCUGAUAGAAGAUAUCGUAUGCGGAACCCAAGCCCGGCUAUGUCUGUACAUAAUAACGAAAGAAACCGGUUAUGCUGCGAGGGCGUUUAGCUCGAUAGAUGUUGAAAAUGCCCACAGCAUUAUA
Molecule: long non-coding RNA, 291 nt
Organism: Bolinopsis microptera
Lineage: Eukaryota; Metazoa; Ctenophora; Tentaculata; Lobata; Bolinopsidae
Exons: 3
Source: RefSeq, a predicted model, not a curated record